Long non-coding RNA from Cucurbita pepo subsp. pepo (vegetable marrow), 826 nucleotides. RefSeq lists it as uncharacterized. Lineage: Eukaryota; Viridiplantae; Streptophyta; Magnoliopsida; Cucurbitales; Cucurbitaceae. The record is from RefSeq and is a predicted model, not a curated record.
CACACUACACUCAGAGUAUGAGUCAAUGCACACCUGCACUACAAGCCAUGUAGUUCAGUUUAUCCCCUGAUUGUAUUUGGACUGAAUUUGGAGAUCUGAACUCAUUGCUUCUAGGAACCAACAAAAUCUUUCCCACCAUUUCCCCAUUCAAAAUGUGGACAAAUGUCCACUGUUAGAAGCUUUAUUCAUGGUGAAAGAAAGAGAAAAGGAAGAUUCCUUCUGCGAAACGUCCCAUGGACAGCAGUGGCUAAUAUACCUUUUAGUAAAAGCUUCUCGGAUUGAACACUUGAUUCAACAAUCCCUCCUUCCAUAGUGUUCUUCCUAGGGAAAAAGCAUACUCUUUCUAGUGGCCCAACCAUGUUUCUUCAGUUAUUGCCUUUCAUUUGGCAGAAUUCAAAAGGAGCGAGAUAGGAGGAGGUGGGGGUCGGGUCGGGUCAGGUCAGGUCAUUCAUUACACAAUGUUUUAGUAGUGUCCCCCUAGACCACCAGCUUCCAAUUGCUCUUCUUUUUCUCCUCUAAAGCCAUUAAAGGCAACACAACAUGAUUGAUGAUCCCAAAGGAGUCGAUUCUCAUUGGAACCCGACCACAACAUUUGCUAAUCCAACAUGGACAACAAGGCGGCAUCAUGAAAGCAACUCACCACCUGCUUCCAGCCAGUCUGCAUGUGGGAUGAUAUGUUAUGGUUUAUUCAGGUACAACAAGGAAUCAACAAAUUUGAUAUUGAUUUCAAGAAUAAAUCCCUGCCCCGCCCCUGUUCUUACAAAGAUAUAUUUGGAGCUUGGUUACAAAGAACAUACACCUUAAAUACACAAAUAUUUUCAAUCGA